UUGCAAAUAGAUGGAAUUACAGCAAAAUGU
RNAcentral lists this non-coding RNA (30 nucleotides) under Mus musculus (house mouse). Lineage: Eukaryota; Metazoa; Chordata; Mammalia; Rodentia; Muridae. RNAcentral also lists the same sequence under 1 other name. The record is from RNAcentral.